RNAcentral lists this ribosomal RNA (300 nucleotides) under actinobacterium NK80A. Its description in RNAcentral is "bacterial SSU rRNA". It matches the Rfam family "Bacterial small subunit ribosomal RNA", at positions 54 to 343 of the family's 1533-position model. Lineage: Bacteria; Bacillati; Actinomycetota; Actinomycetes. The record is from RNAcentral.
AUCGGGUCUACCAUGCAGUCGAACGAUGACCCGGUGCUUGCACCGGUGAUUAGUGGCGAACGGGUGAGUAACACGUGAGUAACCUGCCCUUAACUCUGGGAUAAGCCUGGGAAACUGGGUCUAAUACCGGAUAUGACUCCUCAUCGCAUGGUGGGGGGUGGAAAGCUUUUUGUGGUUUUGGAUGGACUCGCGGCCUAUCAGCUUGUUGGUGAGGUAAUGGCUCACCAAGGCGACGACGGGUAGCCGGCCUGAGAGGGUGACCGGCCACACUGGGACUGAAACACGGCCCAGACUCCUACG